This 138-nucleotide ribosomal RNA is filed under the name Salmonella enterica. Its description in RNAcentral is "partial 16S ribosomal RNA". It matches the Rfam family "Bacterial small subunit ribosomal RNA", at positions 1 to 132 of the family's 1533-position model. The record is from RNAcentral. Lineage: Bacteria; Pseudomonadati; Pseudomonadota; Gammaproteobacteria; Enterobacterales; Enterobacteriaceae.
AAAUUGAAGAGUUUGAUCAUGGCUCAGAUUGAACGCUGGCGGCAGGCCUAACACAUGCAAGUCGAACGGUAACAGAGAGCAGCUUGCUGCUUUGCUGACGAGUGGCGGACGGGUGAGUAAUGUCUGGGAAACUGCCUG